Molecule: ribosomal RNA, 450 nt
Filed under: uncultured bacterium
Lineage: Bacteria
Description: bacterial SSU rRNA
Rfam family: Bacterial small subunit ribosomal RNA
Source: RNAcentral
UGCCAGACUCCUACGGGAGGCAGCAGUGGGGAAUAUUGGGCAAUGGGCGCAAGCCUGACCCAGCAACGCCGCGUGAAGGAAGAAGGCUUUCGGGUUGUAAACUUCUUUUAAGGGGGAAGAGCAGAAGACGGUACCCCUUGAAUAAGCCACGGCUAACUACGUGCCAGCAGCCGCGGUAAUACGUAGGUGGCGAGCGUUGUCCGGAAUUACUGGGUGUAAAGGGAGUGUAGGCGGGAAGGCAAGUCAGAAGUGAAAAUUAUGGGCUCAACCCAUAACCUGCUUUUGAAACUGUUUUUCUUGAGUGAAGCAGAGGCAAGCGGAAUUCCUAGUGUAGCGGUGAAAUGCGUAGAUAUUAGGAGGAACACCAGUGGCGAAGGCGGCUUGCUGGGCUUUUACUGACGCUGAGGCUCGAAAGCGUGGGGAGCAAACAGGAUUAGAUACCCGGGUACC